Molecule: transfer RNA, 67 nt
Filed under: Pielomastax zhengi
Lineage: Eukaryota; Metazoa; Arthropoda; Insecta; Orthoptera; Episactidae
Description: tRNA-Glu
Source: RNAcentral
AUUUAUAUAGUUUAAAUAAAACAAUACAUUUUCAAUGUAUAAUUAAUAAAAAAAGUAUUUAUAAAUA